This 351-nucleotide unclassified non-coding RNA is filed under the name uncultured fungus. RNAcentral describes it as "partial contains small subunit ribosomal RNA, internal transcribed spacer 1, and 5.8S ribosomal RNA". The stretch from base 1 to 73 matches the Rfam family "Eukaryotic small subunit ribosomal RNA", at positions 1759 to 1831 of the family's 1831-position model. Lineage: Eukaryota; Fungi. The record is from RNAcentral.
ACAAACUUGGUCAUUUAGAGGAAGUAAAAGUCGUAACAAGGUUUCCGUAGGUGAACCUGCGGAAGGAUCAUUGCAAAACUAUUCAAAGGUCGACUUGCAGUUUUCGGACUGUUUGUUGAUCCUGCGAAUUAAAACCCUUUGUGCACCGUUGUCAAUGUCUGUCAUCUUUCGGGUUAGGUUGUGAGGACUCUUUUGAGGCCUUUUGAUCUGCCCAGAGGUGACCUUUGUCAAACUCUUGCCAUUAUUCCUAGUCUGAAGUUAUCUGAGUCUUUCUGACCAGAGUUUAUGUUAAACAUAAAAACAACUUUCAACAAUGGAUCUCUUGGCUCUCGCAUCGAUGAAGAACGCAGC